RNAcentral lists this long non-coding RNA (206 nucleotides) under Elaeis guineensis (African oil palm). RNAcentral's name for it is "long non-coding RNA (EGUI_LNC009184)". The record is from RNAcentral. Lineage: Eukaryota; Viridiplantae; Streptophyta; Magnoliopsida; Arecales; Arecaceae.
UUUGAUAUUCCAUUAUGACGUUUGAUGAUUUGAUUAAGAAAUGAUGGUCAAAAUCUCCUUCUUCUGAGGAUAGAUGGAGAAUAUAUGGUGAUCAAAUCUUAGAAAGUGAAGUAAAAUAACUAUAGAAAAUAUCAUCGACAGAAAGCAAAAUGUAUCUCAUCAAAUUAAUGAGUUGGAUGAGGUAGACAAAGGAAUCUAAGCAUGGA